This 433-nucleotide ribosomal RNA is filed under the name uncultured bacterium. RNAcentral's name for it is "partial 16S ribosomal RNA". It matches the Rfam family "Bacterial small subunit ribosomal RNA", at positions 29 to 507 of the family's 1533-position model. The record is from RNAcentral.
AACGAACGCUGGCGGCAUGCCUAACACAUGCAAGUCGAACGAGACCUUCGGGUCUAGUGGCGCACGGGUGCGUAACGCGUGGGAACCUGCCCUUAGGUUCGGAAUAACUCCCCGAAAGGGGUGCUAAUACCGGAUAAUGUCUUCGGACCAAAGAUUUAUCGCCUUUGGAUGGGCCCGCGUUGGAUUAGCUAGUUGGUAGGGUAAAAGCCUACCAAGGCGACGAUCCAUAGCUGGUCUGAGAGGAUGAUCAGCCACACUGGGACUGAGACACGGCCCAGACUCCUACGGGAGGCAGCAGUGGGGAAUAUUGGACAAUGGGCGAAAGACUGAUCCAGCAAUGCCGCGUGAGUGAUGAAGGCCUUAGGGUUGUAAAGCUCUUUUACCCGGGAUGAUAAUGACAGUACCGGGAGAAUAAGCACCGGCUAACUCCGUG